RNAcentral lists this ribosomal RNA (253 nucleotides) under uncultured bacterium. RNAcentral describes it as "partial 16S ribosomal RNA". It matches the Rfam family "Bacterial small subunit ribosomal RNA", at positions 524 to 776 of the family's 1533-position model. The record is from RNAcentral.
GACGAACCGUGCGAACGUUGUUCGGAUUCACUGGGCUUAAAGGGCGCGUAGGCGGGCGAUCAAGUCAGGGGUGAAAUCUUUCGGCUCAACCGGAAAAGUGCCUUUGAUACUGGUCGCCUCGAGGGAGGUAGGGGCAUGCGGAACUUCCGGUGGAGCGGUGAAAUGCGUAGAUAUCGGAAGGAACGCCGGUGGCGAAAGCGGCGUGCUGGACCUCUUCUGACGCUGAGGCGCGAAAGCCAGGGGAGCGAACGGG